This is a long non-coding RNA of Gallus gallus (chicken), 1765 nucleotides long. RefSeq lists it as uncharacterized. The record is from RefSeq and is a predicted model, not a curated record. The transcript has 3 exons. NCBI's taxonomy places the organism in Eukaryota, Metazoa, Chordata, Aves, Galliformes, Phasianidae.
GUCCCAUUCCCUUCAGAACCCACCAAUCAAACAGCACAGUUCUUCAGUGUCCAUAAACACCCAGUACUUAGUCUCGUGAUGAGAGCACUCCAUUCUAACAACUGGUCAUGUUACUUCAUGGGCCUUCCCUCCUUAAGAAGAACAGGAACUGUAAGAAGGUAUGAUAGUUACGGGUCCCUUUCCGAUGCCGCUUCUCAUCAUCUUCUACCUUCCACAUUAAGCACCACUGAUUGCAAUACUUGAUGAGAGUUUUCUUCCUCAAGGUGCCUCCAGGUUCCCCUGCAGUAUCCCACCAGUGUGCCAGUGCACAUCCCAACGGGGUUUCUUUGGGAAUUUCCUUCCCCUGGGAGCCUCCCACGAUGUUGACCAAAUUCUUCUUGAUUCCUAAUUUCCUCAGAGUUUCCACAGGCAACCCUGGACACCGCCUACUGAUCUUGUUCAGAUGUGAACACUUGGAUCUCACAGAUCUCACAGAAGCCUGUCCACCUGCCUUGACACGCUUCCCCGCAAUCAGAAGGCAGUCCUACACAAACAGGCUGACACUCAUUCUCUGCAAGGAACGCAUCUCACUCACACCACACUCACUCUGAUCUUUAGAACAAAAGCCAUGGUUUCGACGUAAUCCACAAGGCUGACGACGUCUUUUAGCUGGCAUCUUCAUAAGGCUAGUACAUUAGUCAGUAAGCUUUCAGGUUUCUCUGAAAGUCAGCUGGACCUGAAAUGAUUAGAUACACGGUACGGAACACUCAGCAGAUGGUGAUAACAAUCACACAACCUAGAACUCCCACUACUAUCUCCAGGAGAAUGCCCGUUAUCAUUUGACAAAAUCCCCACUGUUACCAAUCACCGAAGGCAGCUGUGGUCUUUGCAGACAGCCACAUCCACGGGGAUUGGAGGCUUCUGAACCGGAACCUUGUCUUUCCCGUCUCGUGCCCGCUAAGUCACGUUGUUUGAAAGCAGCACCUUCGCGGCAACCUUGAUUUCUGCAGCCUUCUCCGAGCUUUGUGCCACGAGAGCUGUGCCGCUUCUACCUGUGACAUGAGAGCAUAUGGAAGGCCCUGCAAGAAGUCUGGUGAUAACCGUGGAAGCAUACAAGCAUUACCCAGACAAAAUGGGCGUUUGUCACCUGGGCUUUCUACCAAUGCCAUAGGCAGGAGAAGUCAGCAUGGGAAGCAUCCGUGAGAGCCCUGCAAAAGACUGGUGAAAGAGAUGGCUGCUCUAAGCCGCCCUUGAAGGGCGCAAAGAAGGACCCUAGUGUGGAUUUGCCAUAGGCCCAGCAAGAGGCUCAACAGCACCGAGCGCCGUGUCGUGCACUUUGGUCAUGCCAACCCCAUGCCAGCUUCUCCAGGAUUUGGCUGAGAUAGAAUUCCAACCACCAUCGGAUUUCUCGAACGCUGGGGUGCCCUUUUGGAAUCCUAUGGUCUUGUGACGUGGUCUUGCCUCCCCACCUUGCCCAUCCAUGGUGGAGCAGCCGGGUGGCCCUUAGUGAUGUCACAAGCGGCUAGAAUGAGGGGAGGAGCAGCGCGUGCUGCUUCCCUUCAUUGGAGCGCUUGAGCUCAGCGUGAGUACGUGGCUUGUUGCACUUGUGCAUCGAGUGAGUCUGUUCGUCUUCAGCCCGUCUUGCGCAGCGUCUUGUAGGUAAGCUGAGCCGGUGCGGGAUAGACGGGUGGGCAGCGAGGGCUUGAGAAGUGCUGGCUGGCGGAGCUCCUAGGAUCAUAUUGCUUAGUCUGGACCGUCAGACGCCAUUUUCCCGCAGGCCAUCCAU